CCUACGGGUGGCUGCAGUGGGGAAUAUUGCACAAUGGGCGCAAGCCUGAUGCAGCCAUGCCGCGUGUGUGAAGAAGGCCUUCGGGUUGUAAAGCACUUUCAGCGGGGAGGAAGGCGGUGAGGUUAAUAACCUCAUCGAUUGACGUUACCCGCAGAAGAAGCACCGGCUAACUCCGUGCCGGCAGCCGCGGUAAUACGGAGGGUGCAAGCGUUAAUCGGAAUUACUGGGCGUAAAGCGCACGCAGGCGGUCUGUCAAGUCGGAUGUGAAAUCCCCGGGCUCAACCUGGGAACUGCAUUCGAAACUGGCAGGCUAGAGUGUGGUAGAGGGGGGUAGAAUUCCAUGUGUAGCGGUGAAAUGCGUAGAGAUCUGGAGGGAUACCGGUGGCGAAGGCGGCCCCCUGGACAAAGACUGACGCUCAGGUGCGAAAGCGUGGGGAUCAAACAGGAUUAGAUACCCUGGUAGUC
This 465-nucleotide ribosomal RNA is filed under the name uncultured Klebsiella sp. RNAcentral's name for it is "bacterial SSU rRNA". It matches the Rfam family "Bacterial small subunit ribosomal RNA", at positions 338 to 795 of the family's 1533-position model. The record is from RNAcentral. Lineage: Bacteria; Pseudomonadati; Pseudomonadota; Gammaproteobacteria; Enterobacterales; Enterobacteriaceae.